GACCUGCGGAGGGAUCAUUACCGAGUUUACAACUCCCAAACCCCUGUGAACAUACCUAUACGUUGCCUCGGCGGAUCAGCCCGCGCCCCGUAAAACGGGACGGCCCGCCCGAGGACCCCUAAACUCUGUUUUUAGUGGAACUUCUGAGUAAAACAAACAAAUAAAUCAAAACUUUCAACAACGGAUCUCUUGGUUCUGGCAUCGAUGAAGAACGCAGCAAAAUGCGAUAAGUAAUGUGAAUUGCAGAAUUCAGUGAAUCAUCGAAUCUUUGAACGCACAUUGCGCCCGCCAGUAUUCUGGCGGGCAUGCCUGUUCGAGCGUCAUUUCAACCCUCAAGCUCAGCUUGGUGUUGGGACUCGCGGUAACCCGCGUUCCCCAAAUCGAUUGGCGGUCACGUCGAGCUUCCAUAGCGUAGUAAUCAUACACCUCGUUACUGGUAAUCGUCGCGGCCACGCCGUUAAACCCCAACUUCUGAAUGUUGACCUCGGAUCAGGUAGGAAUACCCGCUGAACUUAAGCAUAUCAAUAGCGGAGGA
Molecule: ribosomal RNA, 535 nt
Filed under: Fusarium sp. DZ-2-2-1
Lineage: Eukaryota; Fungi; Ascomycota; Sordariomycetes; Hypocreales; Nectriaceae
Description: eukaryotic LSU rRNA
Rfam family: 5.8S ribosomal RNA (bases 170-323)
Source: RNAcentral